UACGUAGGGUGCAAGCGUUGUCCGGAAUUAUUGGGCGUAAAGAGCUCGUAGGCGGUUUGUCGCGUCGAAUGUGAAAACCCGGGGCUCAACUCCGGGCCUGCAUUCGAUACGGGCAGACUAGAGUUCGGUAGGGGAGUCUGGAAUUCCUGGUGUAGCGGUGAAAUGCGCAGAUAUCAGGAGGAACACCGGUGGCGAAGGCGGUUCUCUGGGAAUGUCCUGACGCUGAGGAGCGAAAGUGUGGGGAGCGAACAGG
RNAcentral lists this ribosomal RNA (253 nucleotides) under uncultured bacterium. RNAcentral's name for it is "partial 16S ribosomal RNA". It matches the Rfam family "Bacterial small subunit ribosomal RNA", at positions 524 to 776 of the family's 1533-position model. The record is from RNAcentral.